GACGAACGCUGGCGGCGUGCUUAACACAUGCAAGUCGAACGGAAAGGCCCUGCUUUUGUGGGGUGCUCGAGCGGCGAACGGGUGAGUAACACGUGAGUAACCUGCCCUUGACUUUGGGAUAACUUCAGGAAACUGGGGCUAAUACCGGAUAGGAGCUCCUGCUGCAUGGUGGGGGUUGGAAAGUUUCGGCGGUUGGGGAUGGACUCGCGGCUUAUCAGCUUGUUGGUGGGGUAGUGGCUUACCAAGGCUUUGACGGGUAGCCGGCCUGAGAGGGGGACCGGCCACAUUGGGACUGAGAUACGGCCCAGACUCCUACGGGAGGCAGCAGUGGGGAAUAUUGCACAAUGGGCGGAAGCCUGAUGCAGCAACGCCGCGUGCGGGAUGACGGCCUUCGGGUUGUAAACCGCUUUCGCCUGUGACGAAGCGUGAGUGACGGUAAUGGGUAAAGAAGCACCGGCUAACUACGUG
Molecule: ribosomal RNA, 468 nt
Filed under: uncultured bacterium
Lineage: Bacteria
Description: partial 16S ribosomal RNA
Rfam family: Bacterial small subunit ribosomal RNA
Source: RNAcentral